CUGGGUGUCUCAGCAGAGAUGACGGGAGGAUACCAAGUGCGCUGUGCUCAUGACAACAUCCCCCCCUUUUCGGUACACCGUGUGAGCACAUCCAGGGCACGUGCUGGUGACGGUUUGGCGCGGGAAGUGUGAGGAGAGAAGCGGCGCGCGCUCUAAAUAUAGUCCGUGGUGCUGAGGCAGUCUGCAGUGCCAGCGCGGGCUGCGGGCAGGUGUAAGACACGCACCCGGGCGCGCAGCAUCAGAGAGAGAGUACAAAUCUCAGUGCUUUCAUUAUAUAUGAACAUGCGGUAUCAGAAUACUCCAGAAGUUAUGCUACUUUCAGUUAGACAAAAGAAGCACAGAUGCGUGAGAUUCAAGAAGUGGAUUGUAGUAACAGCCACUACCAGCCAAUCGGAAUCGUCGUUCUGAGGACCAAUCAGCUGUCGUUUAUGAGCAGGUGCACGGUCAUGUUCAAAGGACACUGAGCUCCUGAGGGUGAUGAUCGCAAGCCACCGAGGCGACUGCUCCCACAGCAUGCCGCCAUCCACUAACAGAGCCAGAAGACGUCGAUGAUCCUACACAGAGACGCUGACAGGGAGUGCUGACCCUCCACAUAACGCCAGCUAUCCUUUGCGGUACCAGGGGGUUAUAGAAUGGGGGGGAGAGUGUUAGUCACUAUUUUACACUAUGUAGUCUAUUAAGGUUGCACAGUCAACCCAAGGCUUUUAUGAUAUAACUGCCUACUGGGGCGCUGUGUGGGUACUGGCUCCAUUAACUCUGUGCCUCUCUGAAGGUACUUGGGGGAAACUGUGUCUGACAUUUUCCUGUGUGUGUACAUAUUUCUCACAUUACCAUGUCCAGGGACUCUGUGUCUUGUGCUGCAGUGUAUGUAUCUUACCCAGAGGAAUCCAUUCCAUGUACUCAGGAAUGUUAAGUCAUGUCUCAGCCUUCUGAAUCCGAACCGUUGUGGGUGGCUUCAAUUAAGGGAAUGAUAUCCCAGAUUUCAUCUAGAAUAGCUCAUAAUGAGACUGAAACUCAGGUUUUGAAAAUAUCUGUAGAGGUUUUGUCUGUUUCUGUUCCCACAGCCUCCUCAAACUCCCCUGGUAUAUGCCCAA
Molecule: long non-coding RNA, 1094 nt
Organism: Pseudophryne corroboree (corroboree frog)
Lineage: Eukaryota; Metazoa; Chordata; Amphibia; Anura; Myobatrachidae
Exons: 4
Source: RefSeq, a predicted model, not a curated record